UUGCUUGCUUUGGCAGCACGUAUACUAGAAUCGGAAUGAUACAGAGAGGGUUAGCAUGGCCCCUGUGCAAGGAUAACACACAAAUACAUGACCCAUUACAUAUUUUU
RNAcentral lists this small nuclear RNA (107 nucleotides) under Procavia capensis (Cape rock hyrax). The record is from RNAcentral. Lineage: Eukaryota; Metazoa; Chordata; Mammalia; Hyracoidea; Procaviidae.